AUGUUUCAGAAGCAAGGAGCUGGUGGGAAAAACUCUGCCAUUUGGUACAGAAGAAGGUUUGUUCCUCCAUUAGUUAAGGAUUUUGUGGCACCUGGCUUGGAUUCAGCCAACCGGACAAAGAGGAAACAGACCUCACAUCUUGACCUUUCUCCUGCACCCAGAAAAAAUGAAGAGUUUCCUCCUCAUAUGGAAAAAUUACUGUGUGGAAAAAUAACUGCAGAGUGUAGCAGAUAUAAUCUAAUAGCUGCAGUAUGAGAACGAUCUUUGGGAUCUUUUGUGACACAACUACCUUGUAUUGAAUAGGUACCAUAGGUAAUUAGUGGCACCAUUGGGUAGGUGUGACAUCAGCUGACCCUCGGAAAGGAGGAGAAUAUUCAGUGCUUUAAUAUCACAGCCAUUGUCCCUUCAUAUGCUGACUAAUUUUUAUAGAGAGAGCCUGGCAGAGUUUGCUGUGGCCUUGUGUUUUUUUAGUCAGUUGUCUCCACUCGUAUGCAUGUAAUUCUGUCAGAGCAUGCCUGGCAUGCACAAAUUAGUUUUCUGAUGUGAAAAGCAUAUUUUGCCAACACUCCACAAGAAGGAGUCAGUUAUAUGUGAGCCCAUUUGUUUGAAAAUAAGAGAUGGACAGAAAAAAAAAAUAUAUAUAUAAAAUUGUGCCAUCCAUAUUUGUAUGCUGUCCUCAGAAUCGGGUCUGGAUUUUUCACCAUAUGGAAGAUCUUACCUAGAGUUCAAAUUGAAUUGAACUGAAAUGCAGUAAAAAUGUAAAUGAAAACUCCAUUACAGGCUAUGGGAAGCACGAAGCGAAGCCUGCUAAGCAAGCUGAAUUUCAAAAGCUAAUUGCCAAAUUCAUCUCUGACACAAGUUUUCCAAAUCCACCUAAGAUUUCUCAUACAUGUUACAGUGGUAAAGCAACUUGUUUUAAACAAAGCUGAGCUGUGUUAGAUUUGCAGGUUUUAACAUGAGAGUAAAACAGCUGAGGUUAUUUUUCCCAUCUUUAAUCAAGUCUUUAUUUUUUUGACUGCAUCUCUAUAUUUGUCUCUACCCACUUUUCUCCUGCUAGUAUUUUAGAGAUGGUUGAAAGCACAAAAGGAAAAUUAUUUGUUGUAGGCUUCGAAAUACUGUGCAUGUUUUCACAGCAAAUAUAUUACUAUUAAGUUUACAAUGGCUAUUUUUUAUCUAGGAAUUUUCUGUAUUGAUCUUUGAAGAGCCUAUCACAUGUAGAAGUAUUUUUGUUUGUUUUGCUUUAUAUUGUUUUUGU
This 1255-nucleotide long non-coding RNA is filed under the name Anser brachyrhynchus (Pink-footed goose). RNAcentral's name for it is "lncRNA (ENSABRG00000016071.1)". Lineage: Eukaryota; Metazoa; Chordata; Aves; Anseriformes; Anatidae. The record is from RNAcentral.